CCUACGGGAGGCAGCAGUAGGGAAUAUUGCUCAAUGGGGGAAACCCUGAAGCAGCAACGCCGCGUGGAGGAUGAAGGUUUUCGGAUUGUAAACUCCUUUUGUUAGAGAAGAUAAUGACGGUAUCUAACGAAUAAGCACCGGCUAACUCCGUGCCAGCAGCCGCGGUAAUACGGAGGGUGCAAGCGUUACUCGGAAUCACUGGGCGUAAAGAGCGCGUAGGCGGGAUAGCAAGUCAGAUGUGAAAUCCUAUGGCUUAACCAUAGAACUGCAUUUGAAACUGUUAUUCUAGAGUAUGGGAGAGGUAGGUGGAAUUCUUGGUGUAGGGGUAAAAUCCGUAGAGAUCAAGAGGAAGACUCAUUGCGAAGGCGACCUGCUGGAACAUUACUGACGCUGAUGCACGAAAGCGUGGGGAGCAAACAGGAUUAGAUACCCCAGUAGUC
RNAcentral lists this ribosomal RNA (440 nucleotides) under uncultured bacterium. RNAcentral describes it as "partial 16S ribosomal RNA". It matches the Rfam family "Bacterial small subunit ribosomal RNA", at positions 338 to 795 of the family's 1533-position model. The record is from RNAcentral.